RNAcentral lists this ribosomal RNA (492 nucleotides) under uncultured bacterium. Its description in RNAcentral is "partial 16S ribosomal RNA". It matches the Rfam family "Bacterial small subunit ribosomal RNA", at positions 29 to 507 of the family's 1533-position model. The record is from RNAcentral.
AGUGAACGCUGGCGGUGGGCCUAACACAUGCAAGUCGAACGGCAGCACAGUAAGAGCUUGCUCUUACGGGUGGCGAGUGGCGGACGUGUGAGGAAUACAUCGGACUCUACUUUUUCGUGGGGGAUAACGUAGGGAAACUUACGCUAAUACCGCAUACGACCUACGGGUGAAAGCAGGGGAUCUUCGGACCUUGCGCGAUUGAAUGAGCCGAUGUCGGAUUAGCUAGUUGGCGGGGUAAAGGCCCACCAAGGCGACGAUCCGUAGCUGGUCUGAGAGGAUGGUCAGCCACACUGGAACUGAGACACGGUCCAGACGCCUACGGGAGGCAGCAGUGGGGAAUAUUGGACAAUGGGCGCAAGCCUGAUCCAGCCAUACCGCGUGGGUGAAGAAGGCCUUCGGGUUGUAAAGCCCUUUUGUUGGGAAAGAAAAGCAGCAGGUUAAUACCCCGCUGUUCUGACGGUACCCAAAGAAUAAGCACCGGCUAACUUCGUG